UUGCCGCCUACUUCCGGGGUAUUCAGCCUCGCGUAGUUCCAAAUAGCCAUUCUAUGGCGUUGGACAUCAUUCACUUCCAUUGCUGACUGUCGAGUAACUUCUGAGUCUUAACAUGAUCAUGUUUCACGCUGUGGUCUGGGGGUGACCACUUAUCAGAAGUGAGCUAGCUGCUAGGCGAAUGCUGAAUGGACCACGGCAGACCUAACGCUACCACGAAGGUAAGCUAAUGGCUGAAUGGGAAUUUAUAAGCAAAAUCACGGUAAUCAAUAAUACAGCCCAGUCGCCAUAAAAUGAAAAUCAUGAGACAUCUGUCAUCACAUGAAUGAUAUGGAAAA
This is a long non-coding RNA of Fundulus heteroclitus (mummichog), 335 nucleotides long. RefSeq lists it as uncharacterized. NCBI's taxonomy places the organism in Eukaryota, Metazoa, Chordata, Actinopteri, Cyprinodontiformes, Fundulidae. The record is from RefSeq and is a predicted model, not a curated record. The transcript is spliced from 2 exons.